UUUGUGAUGAUGUGGAAGAAAGAG
This 24-nucleotide microRNA is filed under the name Zea mays. RNAcentral's name for it is "microRNA miR-3188". The record is from RNAcentral. Lineage: Eukaryota; Viridiplantae; Streptophyta; Magnoliopsida; Poales; Poaceae.